AUCGUCCUUGUCGAGGGUGCGUUGAUGAUUCUAUGAUCGCAAGUGAGGAUCAUUUCGCUGACACCCACAUACGACAUUUAACGUGAACUUUUUCAUUUAAGAGGUUCCAAUUUUUGGAAAA
This 121-nucleotide non-coding RNA is filed under the name Trichoplax adhaerens. Its description in RNAcentral is "U4atac minor spliceosomal RNA". It matches the Rfam family "U4atac minor spliceosomal RNA". From Rfam's summary of the family: U4atac is an essential component of the minor U12-type spliceosome complex which is required for removal of the rarer class of eukaryotic introns (AT-AC, U12-type). These interacting stem loops have been shown to be required for in vivo splicing. The record is from Rfam by way of RNAcentral. Lineage: Eukaryota; Metazoa; Placozoa; Uniplacotomia; Trichoplacea; Trichoplacidae.